UACGUAGGCAGCGAGCGUUGUCGGAAUUACUGGGCGUAAAGGGCGCGUAGGGUGGCGACCCAAGUCGAUGGUGAAAGCUCGCCGCUCAACGGCGAGUCGGCCACCGAUACUGGGGUUGCUGGAGCACUGUAGAGGCUCAUGGAAUUCCGGGGUGUAGCGGUGGAAUGCGUAGAGAUCCGGAAGAACACCGGUGGCGAAGGCGGUGAGC
This 208-nucleotide ribosomal RNA is filed under the name uncultured bacterium. Its description in RNAcentral is "partial 16S ribosomal RNA". It matches the Rfam family "Bacterial small subunit ribosomal RNA", at positions 524 to 729 of the family's 1533-position model. The record is from RNAcentral.